Small nucleolar RNA from Bombina bombina (fire-bellied toad), 67 nucleotides. RefSeq annotates it as small nucleolar RNA SNORD82. NCBI's taxonomy places the organism in Eukaryota, Metazoa, Chordata, Amphibia, Anura, Bombinatoridae. The transcript has a single exon. The record is from RefSeq and is a predicted model, not a curated record.
UGCACAAAUGAUGAUCACCAAGGGACUUAAUACUGAUAUCUUUGAUGUCUUACACUUUCUGAUGUGU